GAAGUCGGUGAGGUAACCUUUUAGGAGCCAGCCGCCGAAGGUGGGACAGAUGAUUGGGGUGAAGUCGUAACAAGGUAGCCGUAUCGGAAGGUGCGGCUGGAUCACCUCCUUUCUAAGGA
This 119-nucleotide ribosomal RNA is filed under the name Bacillus subtilis subsp. subtilis. RNAcentral describes it as "partial 16S ribosomal RNA". It matches the Rfam family "Bacterial small subunit ribosomal RNA", at positions 1423 to 1533 of the family's 1533-position model. Lineage: Bacteria; Bacillati; Bacillota; Bacilli; Caryophanales; Bacillaceae. The record is from RNAcentral.